UUUCUAAGUGUCAAGUUCAGUUCAGGACAGCUUCCCUGUUCUGCUUAUUAAACUUUGGGGCACAUUGAAACACAAACGAGGGGAGAUAAUUGGAUAGAAAGUAUUACGCUUUUUAUCUCCCAAUAUAUAGAA
Erinaceus europaeus (western European hedgehog) is the source of this 132-nucleotide non-coding RNA. NCBI's taxonomy places the organism in Eukaryota, Metazoa, Chordata, Mammalia, Eulipotyphla, Erinaceidae. The record is from Rfam.